Molecule: long non-coding RNA, 1026 nt
Organism: Triticum dicoccoides
Lineage: Eukaryota; Viridiplantae; Streptophyta; Magnoliopsida; Poales; Poaceae
Exons: 5
Source: RefSeq, a predicted model, not a curated record
GACGAACCCUAAAUUCACGACCCUGCUCUGUUCCGAUUGCGCCGCCUGACCAGGGCCUCGGAUUGCAUCGGUGGCUGCGCUAGGUUUGCUCGGACGAGGCGUACAUCGCCUCCGUGGCCCGUUCGGUCGUGCGACGCGAGCGGCUCUGCCGGCAUGAAGUUCAAUCGCGAACGAUGAUUGAUUGAGAGGUUAAUCGACCAUUAGUGCCAAUCGAUGCACCGAGCAGGUCAGUUUCAUCGCCCAUGCCAAUUGAUCCUUAAUUCAGAGGUUAAUUCUGUAUGUCAAUUGAUUAAUUGAGAGGCUAAUCGUGUCUCUGUACAUUCAUGCGAGCCUAUAAAAUGCCAACCUUGCCGCUGCUCCUUUCCUGCUCUGCUCAUUUUCGCAAACCAAUCUCCAGUACAAAAGCGAUGAGGGAUGCUUAGGUUCCAGCUUUGUUUGGUUUCAAGGAAUUCUAGCUACGUACUGGUUGGUUUCUUUGGUUCUUCCAGCUGAUCCAAUGUCCAACGGAAAGGUGGUUUCUUUGGUUCUUCCAGCUGAUCCAAUGUCCAACGGAAAGGGCCUGAUGAUGAUGACGUUUUUUGGCUGAUAUGAACCUGGCCUUUGAUGUUGAUGAUGUAGCAGGCAACGACCACACCAGGAAAGGGCCAACAACAUGACCAAGUGAACCAGACACUCCUAUUGGGGACGGCUGAGACGCCACAAGACAUAUAUUAUCAUAUUAGAUUCUCAUCUUCGCUGUUUUGCGCGAUGCUUGUAUACAAGGCUGUCAUUUGCCGUUAAAACAGGGAAGGGAACGGAUCCUAUCGAAGGCACAGAGCAGCGCAAAGAUUUUGCAAAGGCACCUAAGCAGGGCACUAUACGCAAGAAUAGUAAAAGCAAUGCUCCGAGUCUAGCAUUAAUUACAAACACUCGUAUUUCCUAGACUGCUAUAUCAAUAUGUAAAAAAGAAUUGCUAUAUCAGAUACACAUGUAUGACCAGUACGUACAAUCUUCCUUGUGUCAAUGCUUAUACCCUGCUUACAGUUA